CACGGGAGUUAGGGAUUCAUCAAGAUAGGACUUCAGCCUUCGUGGCUCUAGCAUUUCCUCUUCUGCUUCUUUUUCCUUCUAUUGAGUGAUAAAAAUACCCUCUCAUGUUUUCAGAGAUCUGGCUUUCUGUCCCCUUGCACCACUUUUUGCCCGAGCCCUCUCUUUUCCCUGUGCUUUUUGUUGCUCUUCUCCACCCUGUGAUGUCUGCUUUGCAAGGUGGCUUCUGUGUGUGGCUCUGGGGACCCCAGGAGAUCUCCGUCUCCUCUCACAGGAAUCCUCAUUCCACACGUGUCUUUCAGCCCUCAGUGGUUUAUGCCACGGGCUCAUUUUGUGAGGUUCACUGGGAUACUUUGUCACUAAUGUUGUUGUGGCUUUGAUUUUGAAAGGCCAGUUGCUCAUUUGUUUUUAAGGGCAGUUUGAGGAUAUAAAAAUAUUAUGUUCCAUAACCUUCCCCAAAUCCUUGUCAUGAUCCUUCCAGGUUGGUGCCAGACAAAGCCGUAUUGCUGUCGACCCCAAACUCUGACCCGGCUCCUUCACACCUUGUUUUGUCUGCUGUGGACAGCACUUUUACUCCCCCAGAAGUCAAGUGUGAAGUCCCGAGCCCUGGACCUCAGAGCGUGGCUCUGCUUGGGGACAAAGUCUCUAGGGGACCAUUAGGGUUCACACCUGACUGGUGUCCUUACAGGAAGAGGAGACCAGGGUGCAGGCAGGGACAGAGAGGGACAGCCCUGUGAGGACGCAGCGGGGAGACAGCUCUCCGUGAGCCGAGGAGAGAGGCUGCAGAACGAAGCCAAGACUGCUGAUGGCUUCCAGCUCCGGAACUGGGAGGGAAUAAGUGUGUGCUGGUUAAACCACCUGCAUGUUGUGUUUUGUUAAGGCAGUGGUAGUCAACAAUCUCUGUCUGUCUGUCUGACACACGCACACACACACACACACACACACACACACACACACACACUCACAGUGCACGUGAGACCCAGGGUCUGUUCCUAGCUCACUAACCCCUAGUGGAAGACUACACGCCGGGGUCCUUGACUCAGUCUGCUACCCGGGAAUAUCUCCCCAGACCCCCUCCCUCUUUAAACAGUCGUUUUAUGCAAAAAAAGAGGAUAUAAUAGUUUUUAUUUUACUUUAUGCCAUCGCUGCACAAGCAGAACCAAGAGUGAUUUACCUUUUACCUGAGUCUUUAGGAUUGGCUCCCAUUAUGGCCAAACCUGGCAGCGUUUAAAUGAUCCUGACUCCGGUCUGCACUGCCUCUCCCCUGGCCAUCCCUCUCCUCCACCCCGAAGCUUUCUGGGGAGGGGCGCAGGGAGGAAAGAAACCAAGGGAGUUGGCUCCCUCAAGGUGCCGGGCGAGGACCUGGGAUCUUUGAGGCAUUGUUUCUUCACCAGUGACGCGUGGUGCCCCUUCUUAAAGGGUGGUCACGAUGGUGCCAGGAGACCAGGCCGUCAUUUGCUUCCUGGCACCCAAAGGCCAUGAAAUAAAUGCUAUUUUCCCCCUUCUUCUUCCAACCUACCCUGAGCUGGAAACAACAAUUACGGCAGAAGAGAAUUCCAGGAAGCAAAACAGCACAGUGCUGUAGAAACUCCCAGCGGAGGCUCCUCCCCACGCCGCUUGGUCUUCCCUGCCUCCCAGUCCGAGAGCCUGGACCAGAACCCCAGUCUGCCACAUCAUCUGGGACUCCACUCCUGCCCCUUCUUUCUCUCCCAUGGUCCCGUUUGGAUCCACUUCUCGGUGUGGAUCCCGAGAUCCACACUUCCUCUGCUCUCAGAGGAAUCUCAGAGUGCGGCGUGAGAAGUGGGCCAGCCUCGGAGGGUAAGUAGCAGCUUGCACCCUCGUCCUGCUCCUGACUCUCCCUGCAGAGCUGUUAGCCCACGUUGGCCCUGUGUCCUUCCUUCUACUUCUGGGUUCUCAGAGUACAUCCCAUCCCCCAGUGCCGUGGUGUUGCUGGCGCUCGAAGGUUUGGGACCUUCUGGCCUGGACCCCAUGGUGAAAUGGGGAGUCCUCAGGGACGUUGGCCACAUGGCAGAGGGGACUGUCCACUUCCCCCAGAGGAGCACCCUUGGAGACCAGGACGCUGCCUCUUAUUUCCUUAGAUUAUCUGUCUUUUCUAACCUACCCUGUGUAAUC
Long non-coding RNA from Fukomys damarensis (Damara mole-rat), 2130 nucleotides. RefSeq lists it as uncharacterized. NCBI's taxonomy places the organism in Eukaryota, Metazoa, Chordata, Mammalia, Rodentia, Bathyergidae. The record is from RefSeq and is a predicted model, not a curated record. The transcript has 3 exons.